Molecule: ribosomal RNA, 537 nt
Filed under: Betaeus harfordi
Lineage: Eukaryota; Metazoa; Arthropoda; Malacostraca; Decapoda; Alpheidae
Description: partial 16S ribosomal RNA
Rfam family: Bacterial large subunit ribosomal RNA
Source: RNAcentral
GUCUGUGUGAUACAAAUACUAAGUCUGGCCUGCCCACUGAGGUUUUAAAGGGCUGCGGUAAUUUGACCGUGCGAAGGUAGCAUAAUCAAUAGUCUUUUAAUUGAAGGCUUGAAUGAAUGGUCUGACAAGAAAAUAGCUGUCUCAGUUUUUAAAAUUGAAUUUAACAUUUGUGUAAAAAGGCACAAAUACAAUGAAGGGACGAUAAGACCCUAUAAAACUUUAUAUAUAAAUUCUGUGCUUAAAAAUUAGAUAGUAAAUUAAGUAAGGUUUUUAGUAUUUUGCUGGGGCGGCAUGGAUAAAAUAAAAUUAACUGUCUUAUAAAUAAAAUAAUAGUGAUUAGAGGUUGAUCCUUUAGUGAGGAUUAUAAGAUUAAGUUACUUUAGGGAUAACAGCGUGAUUUCUCUUGAGAGUCCUUAUCGACAGAGUUAGUUGCGACCUCGAUGUUGAAUUAAAAUUUCCUUCAAGAGUAGAAGCUUGAGUGGUAGGUCUGUUCGACCUUUAAUAAUUUUACAUGAUUUGAGUUCAAACCGGUGUGAG